Molecule: ribosomal RNA, 423 nt
Filed under: uncultured bacterium
Lineage: Bacteria
Description: bacterial SSU rRNA
Rfam family: Bacterial small subunit ribosomal RNA
Source: RNAcentral
AUUUUGGACAAUGGGGGCAACCCUGAUCCAGCCAUGCCGCGUGAGUGAAGAAGGCCUUCGGGUUGUAAAGCUCUUUCGGCCGGGAAGAAAUCGGCGACUCUAACAUAGUCACUGGAUGACGGUACCGGACUAAGAAGCACCGGCUAACUACGUGCCAGCAGCCGCGGUAAUACGUAGGGUGCGAGCGUUAAUCGGAAUUACUGGGCGUAAAGCGUGCGCAGGCGGUUUUGUAAGACAGAUGUGAAAUCCCCGGGCUUAACCUGGGAACUGCGUUUGUGACUGCAAGGCUAGAGUACGGCAGAGGGGGGUGGAAUUCCACGUGUAGCAGUGAAAUGCGUAGAGAUGUGGAGGAACACCGAUGGCGAAGGCAGCCCCCUGGGCCUGUACUGACGCUCAUGCACGAAAGCGUGGGGAGCAAACAGG